Molecule: ribosomal RNA, 254 nt
Filed under: uncultured bacterium
Lineage: Bacteria
Description: partial 16S ribosomal RNA
Rfam family: Bacterial small subunit ribosomal RNA
Source: RNAcentral
UACGUAGGGCGCAAGCGUUAUCCGGAAUUAUUGGGCGUAAAGAGCUCGUAGGCGGUUUGUCGCGUCUGCCGUGAAAACCUGCAGCUUAACUGUGGGCUUGCGGUCGAUACGGGCAUCACUGGAGUUCGGCAGGGGAGACUGGAAUUCCUGGUGUAGCGGUGAAAUGCGCAGAUAUCAGGAGGAACACCGGUGGCGAAGGCGGGUCUCUGGGCCGAUACUGACGCUGAGGAGCGAAAGCGUGGGGAGCGAACAGG